RNAcentral lists this small RNA (50 nucleotides) under bovine gut metagenome. Its description in RNAcentral is "Streptococcus sRNA SpF59 (ldcC RNA)". It matches the Rfam family "Streptococcus sRNA SpF59 (ldcC RNA)". The record is from RNAcentral.
GACCGCUCCCAGCGAGCCAAGGCCAUACGGACAGCCGGGUCCACUGCCGA